AAGUCGUAACAAGGUUUCCGUAGGUGAACCUGCGGAAGGAUCAUUAAUGCAAAAAUAGAGUAUAAUCUUUUCGGCAACUCUUCGGAGCGGUCCAAAAGGCGAUACGCUAUCUUACAACUCCCAAACGCUCGACUUUUUUUUGGAAACAAAAAAAAGCUUCGACGUCACAAGUAACCUGAGACGUUUUUCUGAUUUCGGCUGCAGACGAAAGAGGAAAGAUUGUUCUCUAUUUUUUUACACCAUAAUUACCCUUAUUCUAUAAAACUAUUAGACUGAUAUAAAAACAUUUACUUGAUAAAUGUUAAAAACAAAUUAUAAUACAACUCUUAGCAAUGGAUAUCUAGGCUCUC
RNAcentral lists this unclassified non-coding RNA (350 nucleotides) under fungal sp. RNAcentral's name for it is "partial internal transcribed spacer region". The stretch from base 1 to 46 matches the Rfam family "Eukaryotic small subunit ribosomal RNA", at positions 1786 to 1831 of the family's 1831-position model. Lineage: Eukaryota; Fungi. The record is from RNAcentral.